Gossypium raimondii (Peruvian cotton) is the source of this 838-nucleotide long non-coding RNA. RefSeq lists it as uncharacterized. The record is from RefSeq and is a predicted model, not a curated record. NCBI's taxonomy places the organism in Eukaryota, Viridiplantae, Streptophyta, Magnoliopsida, Malvales, Malvaceae. The transcript has 4 exons.
AGUCCAGUCAACACCAACAGCUAGACUCCACAAAUCUGUUGCCUCUUCACUUCCCUGUCCCAGCAGUUCAAUCGAUAGCAAUUUCCAAAAACUUUCCUUCUCUAAUAUCUUUUCCUUUGUAGUUCUCCCAUGAAACUGCCUCAAUCUGGGUGUAUCGGCCAUCUUUCUUCCGGUGUGCGACGGAUGUAAUCCAGUACUGCUCCCACCAAUUGAAUUAAACCCCAUUGAGAUUCCUAAUUGAAUGGCUUAUAAACCUACAUGUGCUUCUGCCGCAAACGAAGAUGAGAUUGUGCUAUGUAUGACUGUCUUCGAGGCUAAAAUCUCAUCGAUCAAGCCCCGAACCACCAGUCCCAAGUCGAUUUAGAAGAUCGUCUGUCAAAGGCUACAUCAAAAUAAAUUGUCACCCUCGUGUUUCCCUCGGAUUGUCUCUGCCUUCUAUCAGCUCUUAAGAGCAAAAGAGUCGACAUUGUUUACUAGUACCCAUGCUGAAUACCCAAGGCAGUGUCGAAAAAUAUGAUUGCUAUCCUCUUCCGAACUACGACACCGAGGACAAGAAACAUUCACUGCCACUCUUUUGUUUCUGAGAUUAAUUAGAGUAAGAAUGUAGUUCCAGGAGAUUUGCCAUAUUGUGAUUGUAAUUUUUGAAGGAAUAUGUUAAUUCCAUAUUUUUAUGUAGAAAUCUUUAAUCUCGGCCUGUAUUUACUAGGACCCAAAUUAGCUUAUUGUAAUAGUUUAUAGGCGCUUCUGACUAAGAAUUUGUCAGAAGGUUCUCCUUUCCAAACUUGGAAAUCAUUAUGUACUGCUUUUGCCAAAGGAAUCUGCAGAAUUUUCUGUGCAA